UACCCCAUUGGAAGCAAUGCGGAAAGCAUUUUCCUCUUUAAAACAGGGAAUGAUUGACAAAUCUGAUGAAGUUGGUGCAUCUUUCUAAGGUGACUUUCAAGAUGGGGUAGGGCCCAGCUCACAUCUCCAGCAGCAAAACCCCUGACACUUGACCGCAAGGUGGCUGCCAGUCUUGGCACUUGGCCUCCCACCUGGGCUCUGAGCUCUCACAGGAACUUUGGAGGGUGGAGCUGCGCUCCCCUCCCUUGGAAAAGGAUUCAGAGGGAAAAGAAGAGCCCAAUUAUCCGAUCAGGUUGGCUUCCACUGGGAACCUCGAUCUUUUCAUAUCAAGAAAGAGAAACACAACUGGUUCUGAGCCUUUGGCCUCCCAGAGAAUGUUUUUGAAGGCUCACCUGUUUCUGCCGGAUCUCUAAGCUCUGAAAUAAAGGUACAGUCUAGAGACAAAAAGACUAGUCAGGAGGGACAUUUGAACCUGUUUGGCUAAAACAAUGAAAGGAAAUCCUUGGGGGCAAAGAACAAGGGGCACUUGUGGGAUAAUCUGUAGCCACACCAGACUCCCAGAGCUGAUGGAUUCCAGCAUGAACCAGAUGGACAGUUUAUGCGGCAUUAUUCUCUGCCACCGACAGCUGGAUCGAGAAACCACGCAAAGGAGCAGGCAGGACCCGCCAAAUAGCAAGGGGAACAGUCAACGCAAGAAUCACUCUUCUCUCCAGGGAACCAACAGGACUGUGAUCAUUUUCCUUAAAGGAGCUCCCAACUCGGGAGAACUGAACAUCCUGCUACUGGCUUUAACAAGGGGAGCCCUGCCAAAUUCUGGAAAAUCUAUCCCAAGCACAAUAUAAGUGGAAACCAACUAUGGAAAUCCUCAUUUGAGCCAGUGGAGGCCUGUUGACUUCCUAAAAUAAUUUUCUAGUUACAGGAGCAUAAGAUAUCUCCAGUUGAAUCUUGUUUGCUUCUUUGUAGCUUUUGGUGAAGACUAGAAUACCUGGCUGUGAUAUGACCAAGACAGACGUUCUCUGGGACAAAGCAGGAGGAGCCAGGCUGUGCCCAGGAGGGACCCAGAGAUCCCAGGGCAAAGGGACAACUUCAGUAGACCUGCUGACUUGGGGUCAUAUACUUCCCCGAAGAAAUCACAUCCCAUUUCCUAAAAUCAAGCCCAUACAUUUUUUUUCAAGGAGAAAUCCUGGUAAAUUGGCUUAUAGGUAAGGAUAUAACCCGAGGCAUCACUCUGGAGCUGAAUGAGUCCAAGUGAUGGACCAAAGAGCUGAACCAGUCUAAGCCUGGGGGAGCGGUCAGGGGAGCGGAGGGGAGGAGGGCUCUUCUUCAUCCCUUUUCUAAACCACACACAACAGCAGUGGUAUGUCUACAGCUCGGGAACACAGCAGGAUUUUGGAAGAAAGAGCGAUGUCAUCUUUCAAGGCAGGGUAUCAUCAAUCAUAGUCCAGAGCUGGGAAGAUGUCCCGACGCACGUGUCUGGUUUCGCAGUUUUUCCAGUGGACCAGGAAGUUCUCUUUCAUCUCCUGGGCUCAACAGAAAUACUCUAUUCUCACUGGGUAUUUUAGUUUUUGAUCUCCAACAUCUGGUCCAGGAGUUAGGAGACCUGAGUUCUAGAUUCUGCUACACAAUCACUCAUUUAAAAUAUCACUGAUCGACUAAGUGUGACUCCUUUUGCUCUGAGCCUCUGCUUCCUGAUAUAAAAAGAGAGGUGGUCUGGGUGAUUAAGGUCUCUUCUUGCUCUCAGCAUCUACGAAUCUAUGAAAUUAUACCUCCCUGUGUCUGUGAUAAUAAAGCAAAACACUAGUCCCAGUCUUCCUGCAGGAAUGCCAGAGUUGAGGCUACUCGAAGCUGGGAACAAGACCCCCUGAGGAGGGUUUCAGCAAACUUAAACUCUUUCUUGGAAGUUCUCCACUCGCUGCUACCAUCUGUCUGACACACAUCAUGGCCCGGUUGAAUUUCCUCAUUGAAACCACUCAUUUCUUUAUAUUUAAUGAUUCCUUCUAUGUGGCUUUACCUCCUACAAGUCAUCCUUCGAGACAACGGUGCAGUAUCUGGUACAGUGUGUCCCAUGGAACUGCCACAGCCCAACCACUGGGAUCCAACGGUCUUGAUCUCCUCAUUCCGGCGUUUCUGCUCUUCUUUAUUUUGAUGGAAAAAAUGGGAAAGAACAGCUCUUAAGAUUCUUAUCAUUUAUUCAAUCAUGAAGAUGUAACUUGCCUUUGUCUACACUGAUAAAGACAACAUACUGCAUUGCAGGUAUGUAAUCGACACAAACCCAAUCCCUGCCAUCCUGGCCUUAUGAUCCAGCAGGGAAGCUAGACUGUCCUCUUAUGGUUUGGAAAAUAAUACAAACUCCAACUCUUCAUCAGUUACUAAAAGAACCUAAGGUAAUCCUCUAACUUUGGAGCCAUGGUAACUAUUUUUAACCUGAGGAUGAGAAAGUCUCACUCUUCCAGCUGGGAACUCCAUUGAGUUCUUGGAAAAUGCCUCUAUCUGUAAGAUACUGAGGCCAGUAGGUUCUGCAAGAAUAUGAAUAAGUUAGAAAAAUAAUUGGUAUGCUAGAUGGCUCAAUCAUUUUUGACAAAAGAUUCCAGGAAGGUCAGAAUCAAGAACCAAACUCUAAGGAAGGGGCAUAAGGUUUCUGAGGUCAUCAACUCCAGUGGCACUUGCAGCCAUCUUGAAGGGGGUCAGGAGAAUCACAUGCCCUUUGCCCUUCAGAUAGCCAGAAAGUCAAAUGGCAAACCAUGGGGGAGGGGGUCUCACAUCUGAUGUAUGUGCGCUCUCUUGUGUAUUUCCUACCUCGGGCUUCAAAGUCAACACCCAUCCAUUCGUGGGACUCUCCAAGUAAAACUCCUUUUUUACCACUCACAAAGCCAAGGACUUCAGGCUUUGGUUGUAAGUUCCUAAAGUCAGGGGUUGACCCUUCAUUAUUACUGUACUCUGAGCCUUUUACAUGGUACCUGUUGACACACAGGUUGAAAGAAACCAAUCUCUGAGGAAGGAGCUCCCCUCUCCAAUAUAGUGCAAGAUCCCUGCAUUAGGUAAUGAUGUAACCAUCAACCAUCACGUCUGCCACAGCCAUUAUGGCUCUCUGACAAGACCGCGAGGGAGCACAUGGGUGGCGUGGAGACACUUGCGUAAUCCAUUUCAAACAGCCUGAGUGUCAUCAAGGCAACCAGCCACAACCUGUGCUUAGACGUAUGAAAAGAGUGAGACAAUAACACUGCGGUGUAGCCAUUCAGCUAAUUACCUCAAGCCUAGUGGAAACCUUUUCCAUCAGUGUGUUUCAGAGAGUAGCAACAUCUCCUAGCAGGAUGGCUUCUGCUUCAUAUUAAUGCUCAUACAGUAGGACAGUGAGCUCAGCUAGUCUUACGGCUAUGUGUGGUUUAAAAAAUCUAGAGGAUGG
Molecule: long non-coding RNA, 3403 nt
Organism: Kogia breviceps (pygmy sperm whale)
Lineage: Eukaryota; Metazoa; Chordata; Mammalia; Artiodactyla; Physeteridae
Source: RefSeq, a predicted model, not a curated record